Molecule: ribosomal RNA, 375 nt
Filed under: uncultured bacterium
Lineage: Bacteria
Description: bacterial SSU rRNA
Rfam family: Bacterial small subunit ribosomal RNA
Source: RNAcentral
UAAGACAGAGGGGGCAAGCGUUGCUCGGAAUCACUGGGCGUAAAGGGCGCGUAGGCGGGAUGGCAAGUCAGUCGUGAAAUCUCUCGGCUCAACCGAGAAACGUCGGCUGAUACUGCCGUUCUUGAGGGAUGCAGAGGAGACUGGAAUUCCCGGUGUAGCGGUGAAAUGUGUAGAGAUCGGGAGGAACACCGGUGGCGAAGGCGGGUCUCUGGGCAUCUCCUGACGCUGAGGCGCGAAAGCGUGGGGAGCAAACGGGAUUAGAUACCCUGGUAGUCCACGCCGUAAACUAUGGGUGCUAGCCGUCGGGGAGCAUGCUCUUCGGUGGCGCAGCAAACGCAUUAAGCACCCCGCCUGGGGAGUACGGUCGCAAGAUUA